Molecule: transfer RNA, 83 nt
Filed under: Nematostella vectensis (starlet sea anemone)
Lineage: Eukaryota; Metazoa; Cnidaria; Anthozoa; Actiniaria; Edwardsiidae
Rfam family: tRNA
About the family: Transfer RNA (tRNA) molecules are approximately 80 nucleotides in length.
Source: Rfam by way of RNAcentral
GUUGCGAUGGCCGAGUGGUUAAGGCGUUGGACUCGAAAAUCCAAUGGGAUCUUCCCGCGCAGGUUCGAAUCCUGCCCGCAACG